UCCCCUAGCAGGAAAAGUGCCCAGAUGCCU
Molecule: non-coding RNA, 30 nt
Filed under: Mus musculus (house mouse)
Lineage: Eukaryota; Metazoa; Chordata; Mammalia; Rodentia; Muridae
Source: RNAcentral